Molecule: long non-coding RNA, 5207 nt
Organism: Mugil cephalus (flathead mullet)
Lineage: Eukaryota; Metazoa; Chordata; Actinopteri; Mugiliformes; Mugilidae
Exons: 2
Source: RefSeq, a predicted model, not a curated record
CAGGUUAAUACGGCCCCCUGUCCGGUUGACCUAUUACGUCAUAUAAUGAAGAACUGGAGUCAUUCAUGUGAUACACCGGAAUUUCAAACAUCAACAAGAUGGAUAAUAGUACAGUUUUUUUUUUAUUCUUGCACAUAAUGUGCGUGUUACUCACGGUGCAGAUAAAAUGGCGCCGUCCCUCAGGUGGUUCUUCUACCAGCAUCUUUUUUUGACCUUCUUCUUCUGCUACAGGCUUUCUUGGAUGUUGUGUUCACACGUGUCGUCCAGCUAAAGUCUGAUUAAGGCGUAUACAUGGCGGAGAAAAAUCCAAUUGGAUUCCAAAGGAGAAAUCCUGAUUAUAGUCGGAGUAACGUGUUUAAAUGCACUUAAGUUGUCCAGUUAAAGUCUGAUUAAAUUUUUUUUAUUUUUUUAUUUUUUGCAUGUGCAUGUUAACAUACUGAAUGACUUGAAUUAAUGGUUUCUGGUUAUUUUUGAGGCAAGAUGAGAAGCUUAAUUACCUCAUGUGAUGUCACAUUGUCCUUUUGCACUAAUUCUGAAACUAAAAGAAACAGCCAGUUUGCUGGAGGACUGACUGGAGGAUCCUUUAAAAGCAAACUGGUUUUGAAACUGGAUAUGGUCCCAUAUUUACAGGAAAAACAUGUUAGCGUCCUCAUACGACAUUCAGCUUAAAAAAAGGAGAAAAAAAGAAAAAAAGACAACUCCAAACCACUCCUCACACAGAGUUUGAAACAAAGCCAGAGACCACUGCAAGACUAUAGCCCAUCUGUCAAAUAUCAGCAUGGAGCCAAGGAGGUCAUCUGGCCCUGGAGAUAAAGGUGGGCGUGAGAUGUAUAUGUGUGUGUUCGCCGCUUAUAACAGACGCUGUCCAUCUCCCUCAACCAACUUGGGCAGACCAGGCAUCUCUCGUCCACAUUCCUCAGAUUAUGCAGGGCCAUCCCAGACGAGCGUAGGCAAGCCUGGACCCACCUGGGCAGACCCUGGUAAAUUCCACUCAUGCUCGGAGACCCACCGGGAUAAGAAAAGCCGGGAAGAAGUGGGGGCAUAUUUAGGAAUCUCUGAAAGCGCGUUUAAUUCUACUGAGCUCUGCGAGUGUUUACGAGGAGUCAUGAGACUUCACUCUGCGUGAAGUGAAUGGCCGCUAGCUGGCAGACACCCCCUCUGGGUCUUUGCUGUGGGUAACGUCCACGCCGUACCCACCCACCCGCCCACCAACCCAGCCCCCACCUCUGCUCUCGCUAUUGUGUUUGCUUGGCGCUGAUGUUAGCGGAGAGAGGGGCUCGGGUGGGGGGAGGGAAGGGUAGGGCUAUCGACACCAGGGCCAUUGUUUCUCAGCGACCCCCAUUCAGGGUCAUUUAGCAUGUGACACCUCGAGGGGCACAGCGCAUUACUAAUGCCACAGACGAGAAACAAAUGUGCCAACUCCCCAACACCCUGACCUGAGCCGGCAUGAUGGCCGAUAUGAAACACUGUAGCAAGUUGGAGAGGAAAUGAGUGAGAGGCGGAGAUAUUAGGAACAAGAGAGCAGCAGCAGCAGCAGAAGAAGAAACACACAUGUAGAGAGCAGGCUGAGGAAAAACACCAUCGUGAGGCAGACAAGAUGGUUGGAGGAGCUUAUCUACAUACCCGAGGAGGGUGUGUCAACGAACGAAUACGUAAUGCUGUACUGGAACUUUCUGUAACAGAUCAUUUCUUCCACUCCCUGUUCCUGAAGCCGUUGGUGCCUAUGCGUGCCUUAGAUCUGCCAUCCUAUAUAUGAAGACUGUAAACCGUUUGUAUUCAAACGGGAACAAAUGACACGGUGUGUCACUUUGGCAUGUCCAUAAUGCGUUCACGUCAACCCCGAGGCAAACCGCACAAGGUGGCAGUACUUGAAAUGAGACAAGAAAGUAUGACCUCCCCAGUUGGGAAACAUCACCCAGCAGAUCCUAUCUAUGAACAGGUUCACUUACAGCAGCAACAACAACAGAAUGAGGGAGAGAGAGCUAAGAAGAGUCAAACACAGUCGUGGUUUUCAAUCAAGCUUUUAAUGAAAAGAUCAUAAAAUAACAGUUUAUUUUUUUUCCUCACUGCUGUACAUUAAGACUGCAAGGUUGUGAGUGCUGAGGUCAGCUGUAUUACACUUUUAUGACACUUUGAGUUUGCGAGCCCCGCCGCUAUGCGCGGUGGCGGCUCUGACCUGAAUACGAGCUCUCUGAGGAGUGGAGAUAAAGAGAGCCCAGCCUGGGUGCUGCCAAAAGCCACAAAAAGGGGGUCAGAGGAUCUCACCUUAAAUACUGGUGUGCGCAUGUUAGGUGGUGUUUGAAGUCUAGACGCUGGCAUGUGCGUUAGUGGAGGUCGACGCGCAUGCAUGUCGGCCAAAAGUGCACCUGGGUGUGUGUGUGUGCACCUUUGCAUGUGAAGUGUGUUUGCCAAGGGGAAGGGCUCCUUGUCCUUUAAUUAUUCAUCAGCAAAGACCCUACAUAUCCAUUCCAGAGCCUCUCAGUCCAUGGAUCCUGAUACAUUAUUGAGAGGUUGUUCCUGAAGAAAACCAGAGAGGAAGCUUGAUACACCCACUUCAUGGGCAGCUCCACUAAUCAACUCUUCAAGUACCAUUGUUUUUUUGUUUUUUAUUAUUUUUUUUUAGCAGCUAAUCAUGUCUUUCAAUGAAUGUAGUGCACAUCAAGGUGACACCGUGCCUUUAUAAAUUCAUAAACAUAUGUAAAUUAAAAGUUAUUAAAACAUGCUGCUAUAAACUCUAUUUAAAAAAAAAAGUAAGGAUAAUUUGGUUACAGAUGGACGGCAAAAAAAAAAAAAACGUAUAAAUGUAAUGGCAUGAUAGCACAUGUCUGUAAACACUGAAAGAUUUGAGGUAAUUUGGUGUUUUCUGUUUUUGUAAGUCACUACUGCACAAUGUCACAGUAAAUACAGAAAAAAAAAAGAAAAAUGCAGCAGAGAGGAGGAUACAGUCCCCCCAUGCGCAGUAACGGAGAUUACAGAGGGUCAAAGGGCUAAAGCAGGGGUCGGGUGUAUCUGAGAUAAAGCGAGGGACAAUAAAGCUUAGACAGGGUUUAAUGGCACUGGAGGCCAUUUUAAAACUGGCUUUGGUUUAGUCUGCCGGGGUAAGAAGGACCAUCUCGGUCAUAACUGGACAGACCAGCCCCCUCUACUACACGUGAACGCCUGCCGAGCGCGGUGGAAUUAACAACCGCACAAAAUGUAACAAUAACACCGAGAAAUGUGGAAACUCGAGGACAGUUUCUCGACUGAGCUUCCCGCUUUGUAUAUGUAAUGUAUUAAAGCUUCGUUAACACUGCAUAAUGAUAUGAUAUUUUAACAACAACAAUGAUGAGGUAAGAAGAGAAAGAGUAAAACCGUUGGUUAAAAGCGGAACUGAUAUGAGAGCGUCCGGGUCGUCCCGGAGCUUUUGAAAAAACAUACAAAGUGCACUUAGUAAAGCUAUCUCAUCCGACGUUUCUAAAAAAAAAAAAAAAAAAAAAAAUUAAAAAAAUCCUCCAACGUGGAACUAACGGACACUUAUAAUGCAACUGUGUAAAACAGAACGGCAGAAGGCAAGAAAAUGUACUAAUGGUGGAGAGGUGAGCACUACUACUGUGGAUUAUGUGCGUGUUUCUGCUGUGUGAAUGUUUUUUUUCUUUCUUUUUUUCUUUCAUGUCAGCAGCGUGGCAACACCCAGGGAGAGCAAGCUGGAAACGAUACAGUAGCCUCCGCUCUGCACAGGCAGCGACCGCGUCCUGCCUGUGUCCACAGACACACAAACACACACACACGGAGGGGUUAAAGUUCACCUCCCCCCGGUGUGCAGUCAUUCAGUGAGAACUCAAGUACAUAUGGGCUAAAAAUAAAAAUAAAAAAUAAAAAUACACCCAUUGUGAAUGACAUGAAAUUAAAAACCAUACAGACUGCCAGGUGUAACUGAGAAGAUAAUAAAUGCCAUAGACCAUUUUCAUUGAGGUGGAAAAAAUAAAAAAUCAGUUUUCCCACGGAAAAAAACUUCACAGAUUGUGGUUAAUGGCUAUGUUUUGUGUCUCAUUUUUGAUUCUCAGCUUGAAAUCCUCAAAACAAAAAUAAAACUAAAAUAAAAAAGGGGUUCCUGCCGCCACCUCGGUCUCACACACUGAGAAAAUUCUUUGAAGAGGUGAGGGCAGGCCCGGAAAUAAAUACAUUCAUCACUGACAAUAGACAUUUAAUAAAAAAAAAAAAGAAAAAAAAAAAUAAGAGAAAAGAACACUGUCAAUAAGUGUUUGCACCAACUUUGUUUGAGGCUCGGCCAACCAGAGGUUUGUUCCGCUUUUACCCACAGAACACAAGCAGCUAAAAAAAAAAAAAAAAAAAAAAAAAAAAAAAAAUCGUAAAAGCAGAAAAACGACAAUAACAUUCACAGUUAAGACUACCAGAUCAGCCUGUUUACAUGCAGUGAACAAAUUAAAGCUACAUUCUCCAGAUAGGUUUCAAGGACCGCCAGCAUAAGAGAUGCACCACGUUUGACAACUUAAAAAAAAAAAACAACCCAAACCAUUCAAGCAUCACCCACCCACUCCUACAUAUGAAGAGACCCAAGCAGCAGAGGUAGUCCUCAAGUGCGUUUGGGUAAACACAGAGACACAACAUUGAGCUAAAGACCCUGACUAACAAUGCCUUUUGAUUAAUAUGUCAAGGACGCACCACCCGUCCCCCUCCCCUCUUGCUGUCGUCCCGUCAGAAGACAGGCCAGAGGGCAGGGGGGAAUGGGGCGCAGGGUCACCCCCAAAGCCAGCUGGCAGGGAAAGGGAAAGAGGUUUUUUGGGGGGUAGGGGGGUGGGGGGGUGGGGGGUGCCCCUGAGCCACACACCCUCCCUUAAAUGAAUGCAGUAGUUCACCCCAUGUUUAAUGCUAUGCUUUCGUUUUGGCAGCAACCUCUGUGGAAAAGCAUCUUUAACAAAAAACAAAAAAACAACAACAAACACACACAAAACCACCUCUCUGACUGACCGAGCCCCGACUGAGGUCUGUAAAACUGUAAAAGUUCAUGUAAACAAUGUGAUAAAUACAUAUGUUUCUUUUUAGAGCCACACAUGGUUCCAUAAUCAUUCAAAUGUGCUUUGGUUUAAAAAAUAGUUUGUGGAUUUGGGUAUGAGCUUCUUCUUUUUAUUUUUUUUUUUUAAUUUUAUUUUUUUAUUAUUCUUUUCUUCUUAGUUCUUUGUACAACUUUGCAACUAUUUCUGAACAUA